Molecule: long non-coding RNA, 5239 nt
Organism: Ictidomys tridecemlineatus (thirteen-lined ground squirrel)
Lineage: Eukaryota; Metazoa; Chordata; Mammalia; Rodentia; Sciuridae
Source: RefSeq, a predicted model, not a curated record
GCCAGAGGGCCCUGCCAGAUGCAGCCCCUGAGGUGGCCUGCGGCCCCGAGCGUGAGGACUGAGUGGCCCACGGGCAGCGUCCAGCCCCAGGCCUGCACUCCCACACAGAGGACCUGGCCAGGGGGCGCAGAGGGAGAACAGGGCCCGCGGCCUUCCAAGGUCCAGGAUCUGCACUGAGAAGUGAGGUCAGCCACAGGUGAGGCUGCGUCCUGCUGGGCCACUCGGGUCCAGCGGGCUUCGGCAGGGCCCCUCCGUGGGCCUAGGGCACUGUGGACGCCUGGCCAGCAGAGGGCGCCUGGAGUUGCUCUUGGGUCUGUGUGCAGAGUCCUGUCCAGUCUCUGCCUGGACUCCCACUGGCCUGCCCUGUUCUCCUGGCAGGCAGCUUGGAUGCGUGACUGGCCGGGCCCCCCUACCGUGGUCCCCUGGGCACACAGCUGGUACCCAGUGGGCAGGGGCUCAAGGACAAGGCCUGGCCACCUACCCUUCCCGUCAGCACCCGAGAAGUUGCCAGACACACAGCAAAUCCAGGGACUGGAGAGAGUGUGGGCACAGACGGGCUCUCGGCCUCUGAGCUGGCCUCCGUCCACCCCAGAGUACCCACCUGGCUUGUCUCCUGGGGGGGCCAGCGAGUUCCAGCUCCCUCCCUCUCCUGAGACCAGAGGGACUCCAGGUGGACAGACUCCAGGGGGACAGACUCCAGGGGGACGGACGGCACAGCCUCCUCCAGCGCCCCAGCCUCUUCCCUGCAGCCUCACCUCCAUGUGCAGCUGGAGGCGCCCUGUGAGCUGUCCCCUGGCCCAGGAGGCCAUGCCCCACCCUGACCUGGUCCCCAGGUAUCUCGACUCUGCAGUUCCAGUUUGUCCAGGAGUGGGGGCAGCACCGGGUGACGGAGCAGCUGUGUGGCAAGAGCGUCCACCCAGCACGGGCCGGUGUGCUCUUCAUGACCCUCACAAAAACACAAGAGGGACUCGUGGGGGGACUGGUCGUGAAAUUGGUGGCCAUCCACGAACGAGCGCUCCUGGUCGUGAAAUCGGUGGCCAUCCACGAACGGAGCGCUCCGUGGCCGUGAACGACGAUUUCAGUGUCUUUUUUUUAAUAUUAUUCUUAGUUGUCGGUGGGCCUUUAUUUAUUGAUAUGUGGUGCUGAGAAUCGAACUCAGGGCCUCCCGCGUCCAGGGAAGCGCUCCACACCUGAGCCACAACCCAGCCCUGAUGUGGCUCUGACACGCGAGUCACCGAGACACGGUGUUCAAGGUGACAGCAGAAGCCCGAGGCUGGGCGGAGAGAGGCACACGGGACCCUGGCGCCGCCCAGCACCCUCUGCCAGGGGAGAUGGGGAAGGAGGAGGGGGACUUCCUGUCCAGGGAGCAGAGGUGAGGGUCCUGGAGGGAGGAGAGACCUCAGCAGGGUCAAGGGGACUUUCCGGGUGGCCCUCAAGGAAGAAAGGGACCGUUUCCUUGGAUUGAACCCGGGUGCUCUAUCCCUGAGCCGCGUCCCCCGCCCCCUUCAGCACACUCCACUUGGGGACAGGGCCUCGCCGAGGGGCUGAGGCUGGCUUUGAACCUGUGGCCCUCAGCCCCCGGGGUCUCAGGGGUCACAGGCGUGCCCACCAUGCCGGCCACUGUCGUUUCUGAGGGCUGCAUUGGGGUCCAGUCCGCGUGUGCCACCGUCCGUCAUCUGGUCACCCGUCGGCGUCCACUUCUCUGGAGCCUCUCCUGGGCAGACACCGCGUCCCCACCUCCCUGAGUUCCGGAAAAGGGUCAGUGACCCGCAGGGGCUUGAAGGACCAGACCGUGGCGCACCUCGCCCCCAGGGCCACAGGCGGGUUCACUAGCGCAGCUCGGUGGGCCAGGGGACAUCCACGCUGGUGGCCUCCCCAGGGCCGUCUGGCUUGGUUCCAAAGGUGGCUCUGCUCAGACUCUGAGAAGCAGAUACUGAAACGUGUCAUCGUAGGAUUUGCUUCAGAAGAACGUGUGCUGUCGGGUCAGAACCAGCGGCUGGGGACCGGGGACAGCUGUGGGGACGAGGUGUGUGCCGGGCGCCAGGGCGGCUCCUGAACACCUCCCCCACAGACCUCCUCUGCCCCACGUCGAGGUGGUCCUGCCCCAGGGACGGGCCCGCAGCCCCCAGGCCCACCCCUGGGCCCUGGAGCAGACGGGAAGAGCCAGCUGAGUCCCCAGGGUCCAGUCUCCAAAGAGGAGGGAGACUUCUCCUGACCAGCCGCACCCUGCGCCCCCGGGUGCCCCCUCCCCACGCGUUUCACACAAAGCUUCUGCGGGCGGCCACCGCGGGCCCUCAGCUGCCUGCCCCGCGGCUGCAGAGGGGUCUUUGCACAGCACCCCCCACCGGGCAGCUGCUGGGCGGGGCCUGGCCUGGUGUUGAGCUCUGUGUCUUGGGUACCUCCAAGCUCCGCUGCACCUCGACUCCCGGGGACUCGGGAACAAAAGCCACCGAGCCCUGGAGUGGGACCUGAAGGCCCCCUUUCCCGGGGGCGGACAUUCCGAAACCAUUUGUCAGAGGGUCAGCUUUCCUACAGCUAAUCUCCCCGACAGCUGGGCGGGUGCUGUGUCCAACUGCUUCCCACAGCGGCUGCUGGGAUGGCUGCCCGGGCGGGCCGCAGCUGCUGCAGCGCUGGGGAAGGCCGCCUGGGCCAGGCCGCAGCGCCCCACCCUGCAGCGCCCGCACCCUGGGCUCGGGCCGUGGCCCUGCCUGGGUCGGCCAGCGGGUUGCUGCGGUGUGACAUGCAAGCGGUGCAGAGAUGGCCCUGUGUGGCCUCCUGUGUUCCCCGCCUCGUGGCCAGCAGUGCUUCCCCGAGGACUGAGAGGCCUGCUCACGUGGGAGCGGGGCCUGGCCUGGCCUGGUCCCCACCCCUGCUCUGUCCUGCAGUCGCCUGGCAGAGGGUCCUGGGCCUGCGCCCGGUCCCCGGUGCCUCUCACCCCUUCUGCUUCAAACACAGAACCACCCCCAUCCCGGGGCUGGCUACUGUCACUGAACAUCACGCCUCGGUGACAGACGAUCCCACAUCAUAAGGACAUUUGAAAUCGUCGUUCAUGGCCACGGAGCGCUCCGUUCGUGGAUGGCCACCGAUUUCACGACCAGUCCCCCCACGAGUCCCUCUCGUGUUUCUGUGAGGGACAUGAAGAGCACACCGGCCCGUGCUGCGUGGACGCUCUUGCCACACGGCUGCUCCGUCCCCGGUGCUGCCCCCACUCCUGGAUGCACUCUGAGAGUGCAACUGCAGAGCGAGGUCUUUCACAAUCGCAGGUUCAAGGCUCUGCGUCUGCAGGUCGAGCGGCUGUGUGCAGACCCAAGGCCGCGCGCGCUGCCGUCUGGGUAAACACUGACCCGCCGCCCUCCGCUCCACAGAGAAUGUGCUGGUAAUUUUCCUUCCCCUGGGGCUCUCCCGGGGGGGUCCGCGUUUCACGGUCAGUUCUUGGGAGGCCCCGAGAGCUGGAGGCCCGCGUGGCGCGAGACCAGAGCCGGGGUCCGUGGAGGGCGCCCAGCUCCCACCGGGUGCAGCCGGGGUGGGAGCCCGCGGGCGGCCGAGGUCUGGGCAGACGCGGUGCCCUGGUCUGGGGCGCGGCGUGGGGCCGGGUGGUGUGGAAGGGGGUUGGUGGACGUGAUGAGCAGGCAGGACGGGGAGCAGGAGCCGGGGUCCAGCAAGGUCAGGGCCCUGAGGACACGUGGGCGUCUCCUGAACAAAAUGGCUCGUGGUAUUCACCAGAAGGAGAGCCCGUAGGUGGGACCGGAGCCCUCGGCCCGUCUGCCUGACCCCGCUGGGCCCUGGGCUCUGGGGCCUCCCUCGACCGGUGUGACCUCUGUGGCCUCACGAGAGAUGGGACAGUGGCGCUGUCACUCCUGUGGGCGGGCAGCACCCCUGUUCCCGUCCACCUGCACCUCAGAGGUGUCACCUGCCAGAUGUGAUCAAGGGGACUGGGAUCCAUCGGCACGGCCCAGUCAGGCCCAAGACCCCGAGGGAGUGGCCAGGGGUGACGGAGACGGACGGGACCAGGCGUCCACAGGCCGCGGUGCCAGGCGCUGCCAGCAGGCGGCAGAAGCAGGAGAGGGCAGGGGACAGACUCGCCCUGGGAGGCCACCCUGGGCACCGUGGCGCCUGGGCGCCCUGACUCCACAGCGCCAGCCCCAGGACUGUCCUCCGAGUGGCCCGGCGGGGGCAGGGAGACCGGACAGGAGAGGCCCCCGGCUCACUGCUCUUCCACGAGGCUCUGCCCCCGUCCCAGGCAGUGGAGACCACCUGGGCUGGAGAUGCCUGGGCAGCGGCCUGUGAAGAGGCCUGCGGUGGACCUUGAAUGCCACUAGCGUGGACGCCCUGGCCCCAGACCUCUCCACACCGGCCACUCACCACACCCGGGGCUGCACCGGGCUGCACGGGGCCAGGAGCCACAGUGGAGCCGCAGGAAGGCCCUGGACGGGGUCAGAGCCUGAGGCCUGCCCAGGCCUGCCCGGCUCACGCUGGCCGGAGGGCUUGCUGGGGCAGGGCUGGCCGCCCAGGGGUCCCGGGCCCCUGAGCCUCCGGCAGGUCAUGCAGGGCCGGGGCAAGCGGGCGUGGCCUGGCCGCCCUGGGCUUUACCACCUGGACCAGCGGAGUCACCCUGGCAAAGCACCAGUGUCACGGCUGGACUCGGGGACCUGGGACUCUCGUGGCCUCCAUUAUUUCCUUUGGUUUUAUUUUGUGUUCUGAGACCCACCUUCUCUCUUACUUGGCGACCAUGUGGCCGAGCGCUAGGUACCGUGUGAUAUUCAGGUCCACACACGGAGGCUCCAGUCUGGGUGGCUGGCGCACACAGGACCUCACGUUCACCACUGGGCUGUGGGAAGAGCGUUUUGAAAACAGCGUGGUAUCAUUGGGGGGGGGUUGGAAUCGAACCCACGGACACUUCACCACGGAGCCACCUCCCCAGCCCUUUUUAUUUUUUAUUUUGAGACAGGGUCUUGCUAAGUUGCUGGGACCUCGCUAAAUAGCUGAGGCUGGCCUUGAACUUGCGAUCCUCCUGCCUGAGCCUCCAAGUUGCUGGGAUCACAAGUGCGAGCCCAUCUACUCUUUCUUUUUAAAAGCUGAAUCGUGUUCUGCUGUGUGUCUGCACCACAUUUUAAGUCCAUUCCUCUGCACACGGACACAGGGUCAUUCAGGAGGGGACAGGGGUCCUCUGCUCCCUGCAGUUCUUCUGGGGCUCUUCAGCUAGAGCUGAUUUUGGGGAAAAUAAAUCAAACUUCUAUUA